RNAcentral lists this long non-coding RNA (632 nucleotides) under Pongo abelii (Sumatran orangutan). Its description in RNAcentral is "lincRNA". The record is from RNAcentral. Lineage: Eukaryota; Metazoa; Chordata; Mammalia; Primates; Hominidae.
AUUCUCAAACUUUUGUCAUUUCUCUUCUCUCAAAACCACUUUAGUGGACCUGUUCUCUGUAAGGUCACUACUGCCCUCCACUUCAAAUUCCAUUGUCUCCUCAAGUCCUCAACUUAGUCAUUUGACGAAUGUUAUUAUUUCCUUCCUGAAACACUCUUCUUCCUUCUGGGAUCCUCUGCUCUCCUAGUACUUCUCCUACCUUCCUGGGUGCUCUCUCUGCUCCUAAUAACCAAGCAGCUCACUUUUCCUUGGAGGCCUGCCAUUGCUCCUGGUCACUACACCUAGACUUUGAGAAGAAAGCAGAAAUGGAUAACCUGGGUAUGUUCUCGUUGCAAACACAGAAGAAGUAAGUGAAAACACUCAAGGCCUUUUGAGACCUAGACCUGGAACUGGCCCACCAUCACUUCCACCACAUUCUAUUGCCCAAAACAAGUUACAGGGCCAGCCCAGAUUCAAGGGAAAGGAAAAUAGACUCUGUCUCUUCAGUGGAUGAAAUUCCAAGAUCACCUGGUAAAGGAAGAGGUGAAGAAGUAAGGUCAUUAAUGUAAUCUUUCAUACUGUAACACUUUCUUUUUGACUUAGAAGGUUGAGUGUAUUUUGUAUGUCAAUCACACCUCAGUAAAACGGUUUUU